RNAcentral lists this ribosomal RNA (502 nucleotides) under uncultured Acinetobacter sp. RNAcentral's name for it is "bacterial SSU rRNA". It matches the Rfam family "Bacterial small subunit ribosomal RNA", at positions 383 to 876 of the family's 1533-position model. The record is from RNAcentral. Lineage: Bacteria; Pseudomonadati; Pseudomonadota; Gammaproteobacteria; Moraxellales; Moraxellaceae.
CUGAUCCAGCCAUGCCGCGUGUGUGAAGAAGGCCUUUUGGUUGUAAAACACUUUUAGGGAGGAGGAGGCUACUAAGAUUAAUACUCUUGGAUAGUGGACGUUACUCGCAGAAUAAGCACCGGCUAACUUUGUGCCAGCAGCCGCGGUAAUACAGAGGGUGCGAGCGUUAAUUGGAUUUACUGGGCGUAAAGCGUGCGUAGGCGGCUUUUUAAGUCGGAUGUGAAAUCCCCGGGCUUAACCUGGGAAUUGCCUUCGAUACUGGGAAGCUAGAGUAUGGGAGAGGAUGGUAGAAUUCCAGGUGUAGCGGUGAAAUGCGUAGAGAUCUGGAGGAAUACCGAUGGCGAAGGCAGCCAUCUGGCCUAAUACUGACGCUGAGGUACGAAAGCAUGGGGAGCAAACAGGAUUAGAUACCCUGGUAGUCCAUGCCGUAAACUAUGUCUACUAGCCGUUGGGGCCUUUGAGGCUUUAGUGGCGCAUCUAACGCGAUAAGUACACCGCCUGG